UGACUUGUAGCUCAAGGGUAGAGCGUUCGGCUGUUAACCGAAAUGUUGUGGGUUCGAAUCCCACCUUGUCAG
This 72-nucleotide transfer RNA is filed under the name Lachnospiraceae bacterium. Its description in RNAcentral is "tRNA-Asn". It matches the Rfam family "tRNA". From Rfam's summary of the family: Transfer RNA (tRNA) molecules are approximately 80 nucleotides in length. Their secondary structure includes four short double-helical elements and three loops (D, anti-codon, and T loops). Further hydrogen bonds mediate the characteristic L-shaped molecular structure. tRNAs have two regions of fundamental functional importance: the anti-codon, which is responsible for specific mRNA codon recognition, and the 3' end, to which the tRNAs corresponding amino acid is attached (by aminoacyl-tRNA synthetases). tRNAs cope with the degeneracy of the genetic code in two manners: having more than one tRNA (with a specific anti-codon) for a particular amino acid; and 'wobble' base-pairing, i.e. permitting non-standard base-pairing at the 3rd anti-codon position. The record is from RNAcentral. Lineage: Bacteria; Bacillati; Bacillota; Clostridia; Lachnospirales; Lachnospiraceae.